Long non-coding RNA from Quercus lobata, 351 nucleotides. RefSeq lists it as uncharacterized. The record is from RefSeq and is a predicted model, not a curated record. Lineage: Eukaryota; Viridiplantae; Streptophyta; Magnoliopsida; Fagales; Fagaceae. The transcript is spliced from 3 exons.
CGACGAUGGUUCUGAGAGUCCGUUUCACUUUCACAUUGAGGGCAAGAGAGCUAGGCGAAAGAGAUUCUUCACAGCUCACAGUUCUCAACAAUUCUUCCCUUGGCUGGGAAUAUAUUGGUUGGUUAAAAUGGUGAAGUUAAGUAAGCACGCUUUAGAGUGGCAGCACGCAUAUUUGAUACCAGUGAUAGACAAUGUUCAAUAAAUACAUAUGUUGAAACUCCAUGUUGGUGCUGACUUGGACCCUGCCAAUCUCAUUAUUUGAUUGUUCAAAGGAAUUACAUGGAUAUAACUUCAAGUGACUGGUGAUUCAUGUACAAUAUCUCCCCCUUAUGAUCGACAUCCAUAGCUAGC